This is a long non-coding RNA of Acanthochromis polyacanthus (spiny chromis), 468 nucleotides long. RefSeq lists it as uncharacterized. The record is from RefSeq and is a predicted model, not a curated record. Lineage: Eukaryota; Metazoa; Chordata; Actinopteri; Pomacentridae. The transcript has 3 exons.
UUCACUGCCAGACCUCUAGUGGAGACCAUCUUUGAGAGGGGCAUGGCCACCUGCUUGGCCUACGGACAGACAGGAAGCGGAAAAACACAUACUAUGGGCGGAGAUUUCUCUGGAAAGAACCAAGACUGCUGGAAAGGAAUUUAUGCAUUAGCUGGAUGUAUUUGUCAUUUUGAAGAAACCCAAUUACAAGAAUUUAGAUCUACAAGUGUAUGCAGCCUUCUUUCAAAUCUACAAUGAAAAGGCAAGUGUAAUCAUCUCGUGAUUGGUGUGACCAUAUUUCAUGUGUGAUCAACACUAACCGACGCUGACUGUAUUGUGUGUGUGCUGACAGGUGUUUGACCUCCUGAAUCGUAAAUCCAAGCUGAGGGUGCUGGAGGAUGGGAAGCAGCAGAUGCAGGUUGUGGGGCUUCAGGAGAAGGAGGUCAAGUGCACAGAAAAUGUCCUGAAACUCAUUGAAGUGGGCAACAG